RNAcentral lists this ribosomal RNA (397 nucleotides) under Palaemon tonkinensis. RNAcentral's name for it is "partial 16S ribosomal RNA". It matches the Rfam family "Bacterial large subunit ribosomal RNA", at positions 1932 to 2540 of the family's 2925-position model. The record is from RNAcentral. Lineage: Eukaryota; Metazoa; Arthropoda; Malacostraca; Decapoda; Palaemonidae.
UGCGGUAAUCUGACCGUGCAAAGGUAGCAUAAUCAAUAGUCUUUUAAUUGAAGGCUUGUAUGAACGGCUAGAUGAGAGAAAUUCUGUCUUUUUUUAAGGUUAAAAUUUGACUUUUGAGUGAAAAGGCUCAAAUUAUAUGGGGGGACGAUAAGACCCUAUAAAACUUUAUAUAAAUAUAGGUUUUUUUUAAUUUUACUAAAAUAUUAGAGAUCCUUAUUUAUAUUUUGUUGGGGAGACAUUGAUAUAAGCAGUAACUGUCUGAUUAAAAAUAAUAAUGAUAUUUAUAAAGUGAACCCUCACUGAGGAUUAAAAGAAUAAGUUACUUUAGGGAUAACAGCGUAAUUUUUUCUGAGAGUUCCUAUCGAAGGAAGUAGUUGCGACCUCGAUGUUGAAUUAA